This 393-nucleotide ribosomal RNA is filed under the name uncultured bacterium. Its description in RNAcentral is "partial 16S ribosomal RNA". It matches the Rfam family "Bacterial small subunit ribosomal RNA", at positions 523 to 918 of the family's 1533-position model. The record is from RNAcentral.
AUACGGAGGAUCCGAGCGUUAUCCGGAUUUAUUGGGUUUAAAGGGUGCGCAGGCGGGAGAUUAAGUCGGCGGUGAAAUUUUGCAGCUCAACUGUAAAAGUGCCUUCGAAACUGGGUUCCUUGAGUGUAGGUGGAGGAGGCGGACUUUGUGGUGGAGCGGGGAAAUGCAUAGAUAUCACGAGGAACUCCGAUUGCGCAGGCAGCUUACUAAACUACUACUGACGCUCAGGCACGAAGGCGUGGGGAUCAAACAGGAUUAGAUACCCUGGUAGUCCACGCAGUAAACGAUGAUUACUAGCUGUUUGCGAUACAAUGUAAGCGGCUGAGCGAAAGCGUUAAGUAAUCCACCUGGGGAGUACGUUCGCAAGAAUGAAACUCAAAUGAAUUGACGGGG